Molecule: ribosomal RNA, 253 nt
Filed under: uncultured bacterium
Lineage: Bacteria
Description: partial 16S ribosomal RNA
Rfam family: Bacterial small subunit ribosomal RNA
Source: RNAcentral
GACGUAGGAGGCGAGCGUUAUCCGGAUUCACUGGGCGUAAAGCGCAUGUAGGCGGUUGGACAAGUCGUGUGUUAAAGCCCCUGGCUCAACUGGGGGAGGUCAUGCGAGACUGUGCGACUUGAGGGCAAGAGAGGCACGUGGAACUCCCGGUGUAGCGGUGGAAUGCGUAGAGAUCGGGAAGAACACCAGUGGCGAAGGCGGCUCACUGGCCCGGUACUGACGCUGAGGUGCGAAAGCGUGGGGAGCAAACAGG